This 524-nucleotide ribosomal RNA is filed under the name Rhodobryum roseum. RNAcentral describes it as "LSU rRNA". It matches the Rfam family "Eukaryotic large subunit ribosomal RNA", at positions 72 to 591 of the family's 3401-position model. The record is from RNAcentral. Lineage: Eukaryota; Viridiplantae; Streptophyta; Bryopsida; Bryales; Bryaceae.
GGAUUUCCCUAGUAACGGCGAGCGAACCGGAAAGAGCCCAGCUUGAAAAUCGGGGCGCCUCGCGCCCCGAAUUGUAGUCUGGAGAAGGUCCCUCUGCGGCGCGCCGGACCCAAGUUCCCUGGAAAGGGACGUCUUAGAGGGUGAAAACCCCGUGCGAGUCCGGGACUUUGCCGCUCCACGAGAACCUGUCUGCGAGUCGGACUGUUUGGGAAUGCAGUCCUAAGCGGGUGGUAAAUUCCAUCCAAGGCUAAAUAUUGGCAAGAGACCGAUAGCGAACAAGUACCGCGAGGGAAAGAUGAAAAGGACUUUGAAAAGAGAGUUAAAAGUGCUUGAAAUUGCUGGGAGGGAAGCGAAUGGAAGCUGCGGGUGCGCCCCGGUUGGAUGUGGAACGGCCCUCGGGCUGGUCCGCCGCUCAACGCGGGGCGCUGGUCAGCGUGGGCUGCCGCGGCGGGACAAGUGCGGGAAACCGUUUCCCGCCCCAUGCCGUUGCGGCGGCCGAGGAACGAAGCGCGCGCCCCCCCCUU